UUCUUAAUCCUCCUUUGACUCAAGCUCAACCAACAGUGGUGCAAAGUGAGGGGUCCCCCAAUUUGGAAAGACCCUCCUGCUAGGCAGUGUGUGAACCUGGGAACCUGGGGCUCACUGCCACCCAGGAGUGCCAGCUUGAAUAAAAUAUGUGGGGGAAGGUAAGCCCUGCCACACAUACUCUGUCACAUGGCAUGGCACAUACAUCCCAUUUGAAUGGCGAUGCCUAUCAACUCUGAGGGGACCUGGCCCUCUCAAAUAUUUUCGGGUGGGGGGGGUCAAAAGCACCUUGGCUCCUAUGUCACCACCCAUGUAUGCCAUGCAAAGCUAUGUUUUAGUAUGGUAUGCCUAUGUGCCCUAUAGCUCCAGGUGUAUAUUUUCGGGAAAAUAAUAGGAGUGCAUUCUAGAGCAGUUGGGGUAUACAGCGGUAACUUGGAAGUUAAACGGAAUCCAUUCUGGAAGUCAGUUCGACUUCCAAAAUGUUCAAACACCAAAGUGCGGCUUCCGAUUGGCUGCAGGAAACUCCUGCAGCCAAUCAGAACCUGCAGAACCCAUGUUGGACGUUCGGGUUCCAAAGAACGUUCGCAAACUGGAACACUCACUUCUGGGUUUGCGGUGUUUGUGAGCCAAAACAUUCGACUUGCAAGGCGUUCGGGAUCCAAGGUACGACUGUGUUUUGAUUUUUUAUCUUCUGGCCUGAAAAUGUUUCAGGUUGAUGCUAGCCGAAUUCAAACAUUUCCUUUGCAGUGUGGGAGCCAUGUUGCUUUGCUCUGUCCCACAGAACUCCAGUGCCUUGUAAAAAAGGCUCCACAUUGGAGUAAUGGCUUCAUCUCGUUACUUCCCACACCAAUGCCAUCCUUUUCUGGGCAUCUGUGGGAAGGAAAAUAAGAGCUUUAUCCCACUUGUCCAAAUGGUGCUUUUAAAUUUUUUUAUUACAAAUAUUACCAGAACAGUUUAGAUGGGGUAACCUCGUAUCUGCAGCCUCCUGCACACUAUAAAGGUAACAUUUGAUUCAUCCCUUCCUUUAAAGUCAGGAAUCGGUUGAAUAUAAAAGUUGAGUGACAGAAGGGACUGGGGGUUGUGGUUCAGGCAACAU
Podarcis lilfordi (Lilford's wall lizard) is the source of this 1093-nucleotide non-coding RNA. NCBI's taxonomy places the organism in Eukaryota, Metazoa, Chordata, Lepidosauria, Squamata, Lacertidae. The record is from the annotation of a GenBank genome assembly.